GAUGAAGAACGCAGCGAAAUGCGAUACGUAAUGUGAAUUGCAGAAUUCAGUGAAUCAUCGAGUCUUUGAACGCACAUUGCGCCCUCUGGUAUUCCGGAGGGCAUGCCUGUCCGUGCGUCAUUGCUGCCCUCAAGCACGGCUUGUGUGUUGGGCCCCGCCCCCCGAUCCCGGGGGGCGGGCCCGAAAGGCAGCGGCGGCACCGCGUCCGGUCCUCGAGCGUAUGGGGCUUUGUCACCCGCUCUGUAGGCCCGGCCGGCGCUUGCCGAUCAACCAAACUUUUUUCCAGGUUGACCUCGGAUCAGGUAGGGAUACCCGCUGAACUUAAGCAUAUCAAUAAGCGGAGGA
This 345-nucleotide unclassified non-coding RNA is filed under the name soil metagenome. Its description in RNAcentral is "partial contains 5.8S ribosomal RNA, internal transcribed spacer 2, and large subunit ribosomal RNA". The stretch from base 1 to 120 matches the Rfam family "5.8S ribosomal RNA", at positions 35 to 154 of the family's 154-position model. The record is from RNAcentral.